AGAUGCUAUGGCGUAUUGCGAGUGCUGCUUGGUGGUACACGCGUCUGUGAACAAGAAAGGAAUAGAAUUGUUGAAUAGUUAGUGUGAGAGACCACUGUGAGCCGGCCAAUUGCUACUAAAACAGCCCAUCGUAUUUUGCAAAAGAGAAAAGACGCAUUUGAAAAGGAUGUUUAAGGUAGUGCGUAAUCAACGCUCUUAAUUUUACGAUGAAUCAUUCAGCGUCUACUAACGGAAAAUUACAUAAAUGCUCCUGAAAACGCCACGACAAAGGAAUCUGGUGGAACUAAAAAUGUGCACACUAUCGUAAUCCACAUUUUUUUGGUAUUUUUCCUCAGGUUUAAUUUAGUGGCGCCAAAGAAAAGACUUGUUUGCUCAGUGCAUUCAUCAACGCACAACCACUCGAUGUUCUGAGCUCUAGAUUUUGCCUCGAUACAUAAAUUACUUGCAAAAAUCGAUGUCGAUUUCGCAGCCCCAAUUCGCUAUUCCGUAUACGGAACUAUAGUAUGCGCAGUUAGGCAUAGUAAGUAGUUGCUGUUAACCUGAAAACUCUUCAAACCGUGGAACAUCCAUCGGAACAGCCAGCAACCAGUUCAUUAGGAUAUCUUACGUGAGCAUUUUAAAAUAUUUUUUAUGAUUGUUCCGGACAAAGUAAUAAACAUUUUUUUAAUAAUAAAUUUGCCCACUUAUAGCAGAGAAUAA
Molecule: long non-coding RNA, 699 nt
Organism: Rhagoletis pomonella (apple maggot)
Lineage: Eukaryota; Metazoa; Arthropoda; Insecta; Diptera; Tephritidae
Exons: 2
Source: RefSeq, a predicted model, not a curated record